UUUAAAUAGGGCAUUAGAUUUUGAUUUGCUGUGAAGGACACAAUUAUUUGAGCACGGAAGGCAACAAAGGUGCAUGAUCUCAUGAAGAGGGCAUUCUUUUAUGUGAGGCUUGGUACAGACGUCUUGUCAUCCCUGCUGUCUGCGCUACUCAACUGAAUGUCGGCGUGGACGCUGGCGCAUUCCAGGGGGUGCAUUUGAGCAGCGACAGUCAUCUUGGCGAUUCAGGGUCACAACCAUUGCCGGGAGAAAGUCAACGAGAAGUGGAGACAUGCAUGAUCCAAGUGAUGAUGCAUGAAUGUUUACUAACGCUGAAAUUUGCUAUAGCAGCAGUAGAUUGACAGAGAAAACCAAG
Lolium perenne is the source of this 352-nucleotide non-coding RNA. The record is from RefSeq and is a predicted model, not a curated record. NCBI's taxonomy places the organism in Eukaryota, Viridiplantae, Streptophyta, Magnoliopsida, Poales, Poaceae.